CUUUAGUCUAAAAAUAGAAAAGCAAUUAAAACAGUUAAUAUAUGGUCCUCCUUUAAUAUUUUUGCAUAAAAUGUUUGUACACGUGCAUUUUCUGUAGUAAAAGUGCAUUUAAUAACUCUUGCUAAUAACUAAAAUUGUAAAUUAUUUAUGCAGCUAAUCAUUCUGACUUCAACUGUAUGUAAUUUGAUAAUUAUAUAUCCUUUCCUCUGUUUCUUUUUAAAUAUUUUUUUUCUCAUUUAAUCCUUCU
Non-coding RNA from Danio rerio (zebrafish), 247 nucleotides. NCBI's taxonomy places the organism in Eukaryota, Metazoa, Chordata, Actinopteri, Cypriniformes, Danionidae. The record is from Ensembl.